GCUGGCGACCGGCGCACGGGUGAGUAACACGUAUCCAACCUGCCGAUAACUCGGGGAUAGCCUUUCGAAAGAAAGAUUAAUACCCGAUGGCAUAAUAGAACCGCAUGGUUUGAUUAUUAAAGAAUUUCGGUUAUCGAUGGGGAUGCGUUCCAUUAGGCAGUUGGUGGGGUAACGGCCCACCAAACCUUCGAUGGAUAGGGGUUCUGAGAGGAAGGUCCCCCCACAUUGGAACUGAGACACGGUCCAAACUCCUACGGGAGGCAGCAUG
This 268-nucleotide ribosomal RNA is filed under the name uncultured bacterium. RNAcentral's name for it is "partial 16S ribosomal RNA". It matches the Rfam family "Bacterial small subunit ribosomal RNA", at positions 87 to 353 of the family's 1533-position model. The record is from RNAcentral.